Molecule: ribosomal RNA, 257 nt
Filed under: Triticum aestivum (bread wheat)
Lineage: Eukaryota; Viridiplantae; Streptophyta; Magnoliopsida; Poales; Poaceae
Description: partial small subunit ribosomal RNA
Source: RNAcentral
UUCCCGGGCUGGUUCGGGUCGGGUAUGGCCGUCGGUGGAGGCAGCAGCAGCCAUGACUGCGCCGUGCUCGGCCGCUUAGGCUGUCCGGGGGAUGGAGAGCGAGCGGCGCUCUAGGGCGCAGGUACCGCCAGCCGUAGCGCGAGGACGAGCUGGAACGCCGGGCGCGCGGGGCGAGGAGGCGGAGCGAGGUGAGCGUGCGGCGGAAGAGGCGGCGGCGGCGGCGGCGGCGGCGCCGUCGGGACAGGCGGAGGCCGCAU